GUCGCGAUUUGGGGUCAACGGUCGCCAUUUUGGGGUCAAAGGUCACGAUUGGGGGUCAACUGUCGCCAUUUUGGGGUCAAAGGGCACCGAUAUGUGGUCAAAGGUCACGAAUGGGGGUCAAAGGUCCCAUAUACGGGCUAAGAGGACACAGAUUUGGGGUCAAAGGUCAUAUUUUGGAAUCAAAGGUCGCCAUUUUGGGGUCAAAGGGUACAUAUAUGGGGUCAAAGGUCACAUAUUUGGGGUCAACGGUCGCCAUUUUGGGGUCAAAGGGCACCGAUAUGGGGUCAAAGGUCACCGAUAUGGGGUCAAAGGUCACAUAUAUGGGCUCAGGUGACACAGAUUUGGGGUCAAAGGUCACAUUUGGGGGUCAAAGGUCACAAAUGGGGGUCAAAUGUCGCCAUUUUGGGGUCAAAGAGCGCCGAUAUGGGGUCAAAGGUCACCGAUAUGGGGUCAAAGGGUACGUAUAUGGGGUCAAAGGUCACAUAUAUGGGGUCAAAGGGCACCGAUAUGGGGUCAAAGGUCACAUAUAUGGGGUCAGAGGUGGACAUGUGGGGUCAAAGGUUACAUUUUUG
Gallus gallus (chicken) is the source of this 572-nucleotide long non-coding RNA. The record is from Ensembl. Lineage: Eukaryota; Metazoa; Chordata; Aves; Galliformes; Phasianidae.